UUUCUAACAAAAUAUAAAAAUAAUACAUACUAUGUGCAAGAACAUGAGGAAACAGGUACUGUCAUACAUUACUGUUGUUGAGGAAACAGGUACAAUAUGACUUAGAGCAAUUAGGGCUGGGUACGACGGCACACACCUAUAAUCCCAGCACUUUGGGAGACCGAGGGAUCUCUUGAGCGCAGAAGUUCAAGACCAGCCUGGGCAACACAGUGAAACCCAGUUGCUACUAAAAAUAGAAAAAUUAGCCAGGUAUGGUGGCGCACGCCUAUAGUACCAUCUACUUGGGGCGCUGAGGCACGAGAACAACUUGAACCAGGGAGGCAGAGGUUGCAGUGAGCCAAGAUCACACUACUGCACUGCAGACUGGUUGACAGAG
Sapajus apella (tufted capuchin) is the source of this 376-nucleotide long non-coding RNA. RefSeq lists it as uncharacterized. The record is from RefSeq and is a predicted model, not a curated record. NCBI's taxonomy places the organism in Eukaryota, Metazoa, Chordata, Mammalia, Primates, Cebidae. The transcript has 2 exons.